RNAcentral lists this ribosomal RNA (253 nucleotides) under uncultured bacterium. RNAcentral's name for it is "partial 16S ribosomal RNA". It matches the Rfam family "Bacterial small subunit ribosomal RNA", at positions 524 to 776 of the family's 1533-position model. The record is from RNAcentral.
UACAGAGGGUGCAAGCGUUAAUCGGAAUUACUGGGCGUAAAGCGUGCGUAGACGGUUAUUUAAGUCAGGUGUGAAAGCCCCGGGCUCAACCUGGGAAUUGCAUUUGAGACUGAAUAGCUAGGGUGCGGAAGAGGGGAGUGGAAUUCCAGGUGUAGCGGUGAAAUGCGUAGAGAUCUGGAGGAACACCCGUGGCGAAGGCGGCUCCCUGGUCCGGUUCUGACGCUGAGACGCGAAAGCGCGGGGAGCGAACGGG